GCUCCAUUAAAUAGUGCUGCUAAUCCACUAAUUUAUGUCUAUUUUCAACUCAUGUUUGUCGAAAUUUCCGUAAACAUUCAGCCGUCCUUUGGUUAACAAACGUUAUUUGCUUCUGUUUGCCGCGCCUAUACCCAAUCAGGGGAAGUACUCUUCGUAGCGAUAACAAUACUUUAACAUCAACUUAUACUCGUUCAUCUGGACGAAACUCAUUAAGCCCUCAUAAUAGAUAUCAAAUGGCUACGCGCAAUAAAUUCACCUACCAACAGCAACAACAAUCAUUUCAACCAUCAUCUUUGUAUCCACAUAAGACAUUUGAUACUUAUGGUGAUACUAUUCAGCAAACAACACUCAUCCUUGACAAUAACGAUGCUAAUAGUGAUACUGAUUGUAAAUUGAAUAGCAAUAAGUUAACCCUAAAUAACAGUAAGCUUGAUCUAUCGACAUCUGAUAGUGAGGUUUCCACUAGGUUAAGGUAGUACAAGGUAAUACGAUGAGUAAAUAUUGAUUAGUAUUGCAACAAAAUUAAUUUGUAUGCCAAUGUGAAAACUAAAUCAUAUAUUUUUUUGAUAAUUGUUGCUAGACACAUUGUUAAUAUGAAUAUGAUGAAUUGUGCAAAUGUUUUUUUUGCCACUUCUAUGUAAACCUUCAAAUGUAAUAUUUUUUCCUCCCCUUUUUGUAUGAAAUCAAAAAUUGAAUCUUUUUUGUAUUCUAAGCAUACACAUUUAAACAUAAUCAUUAUCAAAUACAAGGACAAGGUACAAAUAAACAAGUUAUUGAAUACUUAAAUGGUAAUCAAAUGCAUAAAAAUGACACAAAUCACAAGUUCGUAGAGUAAAUUGAAGGAUAUUGGAGAUGACAAGAGUUCAGUUUCACUUUUUGCCAUCAAUUUAACAGUAAUUACCCAAAUAUUGGAUAACAAAAUCUUAAGUGCAAGAGAGUAAUUAAAGCUUAUGAUUAAAGAUUUGGACGAUUGAAAGAGUAAGAUUAUUUAAUUUCUUUAAUUUACUUUUUGGACAAACAUUAAGUACUUUACUGUAUUACAUUCAUAUUAAACUUUUGCAUUGAAAUGUACAAAAACUGUUCAAUAGAUGGCGCUUGUCUUGCCAAAAUUGAAAUCGUCGGAUCAACUGAUUUGUUAUAUCAGUUUCGUCUUCAAAUUUAAUAUCUCUUUAAUUAAACAUGUGAAACUUAAUUCCAAUCUAUAAUUGUCUUUCUUAAUUGGUUUACUUUUACUUUCAAUUUGCUAUAUUUUGUUGUUAACUCAUUAGAUACAAUAAAACGUUACAGAACCCAUAAACCCUGGAGAUGUCAGCAGCUUCUGUGAAAAGAGUGUUUCAAAGCUUAAUUUGGAAACACAAAGGCCAUUCACUGAUUGAUUUUAAUAUAUUUUUGUAACCAUCGAUGUCAAAAGAUUUCAUCAAAUUCUGAUUCAACUUUACUACAUUCGCUGGUUGCAUCUAAAAAAGCCAAAAGUAUCAUCAUAACCCACCUCCAAUGAGUACCGGUGUAUUUAGGCGCCAUUUUUGGUGGAGUUUCUUUACGUAGAGUUUGGAUGCUGAUCUCUUAUCGAUUCGGCCUCGUGGCCCAACGGAUAAGGCGUCUGACUUCGGAUCAGAAGAUUGCAGGUUCGAAUCCUGCCGAGGUCGAUAACUUUUGGCCUUUUCGAUCUCUGGCUGCAUUUUUUAUGUAUCUUUCUAUAGGCUGGUGUGAUUUUUUAAGUAACUCAAGCUAAAGCGAAUGAAAAUUGGCCAAAGUUGGAAAAUUUUUCUAAACAUAUGUUGUCUGCUGAUGAAUCAACCUGCAUGAUUACUGGAAGAUACGGAAAACAAGGAAAUCAAACAUUUCGCUUCCGUUUAAGUUCUUGUUUCGUUGUCGUGUUUUGAUUGUUAAAUUAUUAUUCAUCGAGUAACGUAAUUUGCUGCCGUUUGGUUAGGAAACAAAUCGCUAUCAUUAUGUUCAAAGCUUCUAAUUUGGUAACCAUUUAAGUGUUGGCUUCUAUCAAUUGCUGUGUGAUCAUCAUUCAGUAACAUCUAUUUCAAUCAUUAAUGGUGCAUAACAACUGAUUAAAUAGAUAUUAGAAAGUUGACUGUGACUUACAAUUCGAUGUCGAACCAGAAUCGCUACCAACUGUUGAUUUUGUACUUUAUGGUUACAGAUUUACUUGACGACCCGGCGGCUUAGUUGAAUGGCCUAACACAGAUGGACCUUUAAUCGUAAUGCAUUUGGGAAGCAAUUUCAUUCAUCGCCAAAUAAGGUCAAUCUACUUUUCCCAUCAUCGUCAGGAACUAAUCAUAGCAUCAAACACCAGUAAACGCAAUCAAAAUAACUUGAUAACCCAGCUUCCUGUGCUCUCCAACUCGUUCUUAAACCAACUCUUGAAAUGGCCAAAAUGAAAAAUAAAAUUAACCUGGUAAACCAAUUACAGAAACAUUAUCAUGGCAAUUAUGAGGCGAAGAAUAUGUUUUAAAUGAAAAAUAAUUCUUAUCUUAUACCUAUUAUCAUCACAAUCAUAUUUCUCUUCACUUUUCCUUAUAAUCAAAUACAAUUAUUGUCAAUUCCACAAUUUGUUUACUACCUCAAUAGGAAACAUACUGUUGACAAGCAAACAUGAAUCAAUUGGAAUGUUUAUUUUCCUCAGACAAAUAAAGAACAAUUUAGAUUGAAA
Tetranychus urticae (two-spotted spider mite) is the source of this 2665-nucleotide non-coding RNA. Lineage: Eukaryota; Metazoa; Arthropoda; Arachnida; Trombidiformes; Tetranychidae. The record is from RefSeq and is a predicted model, not a curated record.